This is a non-coding RNA of Triticum urartu, 4583 nucleotides long. Lineage: Eukaryota; Viridiplantae; Streptophyta; Magnoliopsida; Poales; Poaceae. The record is from RefSeq and is a predicted model, not a curated record.
CAACUCCUCCCUCUCCCUCGGUCUCGCCUCUCCUAUCGUUCGAUGUCGCUCAAUCCUCUCUAGGGUUCGCCGCCCGCCGCCGUCCCUCGCCGUCCUGCUCCGCUGUCGCCCCUCCCUCCACCUACCUCGCCCCUGAUCUAGGGUUCGCCUCCCGCCGCCGCCGCCCCCGCCGCUCUGCUUCGCUGUUGCAUGUCCCUCCGCCUGCCUCGCCCCCUCCCCUACACUCACCCCUGCGGCCCUGCCCGAUCUGGAUCUGGAUGAGGUGUUGCCUCUCGUUCCUCUCAUCGCGUCCCUUGUGCCAGCCAUGGAAGAAGGGGAGGGAGAGCAAAGCGGACAGCGGUGGCCAUGUGCCAGCGUUGGCAGGACGAAGAUGUGUGAAUCAAGGAGUCCCUGCAUCUACCCGCGACCCUAGAAUAGCCGCUACCGCUGUGACCUUUCUCCAUGCCGUGAGCUUCGAGGAGUCUGGCGGCGCCAUCACGCCGGCCUCUGUCCAAGAGGUCAUCGCGCUCAACGGGCCCUCACUCCUCGGCUCCGCCUGCGGAGGUCGUCGACGCCAUCGCAGGGUGCCGCUUUGAGGCCGGGGUUGAAGCAGCCACCGAGGAGGCCAUCUUGACGCAGAUGUUGCAGGCACUCCUGACGUGCAUGCGCUCCCCUGCAAUUGACCAUUGCUAUUUAAUUUAUUCAGGGCUCCCCUGCAACUCCUAGAGCAAGUUAAUGAAAUUGAAACUUUCUAAAUUUUUCUAACAUGUGGGAACAAAGAUUAUAUAAGUUAAAAGAAUAACCUUGAUGAAAUCUCAGCGGUCAAUGAAAACACCGUAUUCUACUAUAUGUCAUUUCUGCUCUUGAGCGGCCUUUGUAGUUUUUCAUAACAAGAACUCACAACACUGUACUUCAUAAGUCACAAAGUUAUCAUCCUGAAAAAUAGUUAUGAUUGUGUGCAUCACUUACGCUUGAGACCGAAGGUCUUUCUCUCUUUUCCGAAAAAAGUCAUCCUGAAAAAUAGUGAUUUGUGUGCUCUCGUUAAUGAUGAUUCAUCAUGUUACCAUUCAUACAUCCUUGUUUGGUUUAGUGGAGCCAUUUUUUCAAUCACCAUGACAAGUAGAAUUACCAACUGAAACUGAGAGAACCGCUGCAAACCUGGUGGUAAUUGUAGUGGUGCUCGUAGCUUAUCAUCAAUCUGCCAUUAUUAUUUGUGUGUAUGUGUUCAAAACGACCACUCUAGGGAUUCUGGAUUUGCUCCUGGCUGCGCCGUCGGGUUUCUUGCGGUUUUGUUUCAUUUGAGUUCUGCUGUUCAUACAUAGUCUAAUUUGCCAACAUCGGUCUUUUAAUAAUGCUUUCAACAUGGACAAUCUGAUGCGAGCAAGUUUCUUGCCCUAUCCAUGCGUCAACCAGCAAUUUCUUGAUCCAGGUGCCACAUGGCCUAUAGGGAAGCAGAAGGGCGUCAACAUCGGCACCGGUCGCCGCAAUGUGGAAGGAAACAGGCGGGUGCUCAGGGACAUCGGCAACGUCAACGCAAGGAUUGAAUCAUGUUCUAUUUUUCGUUCCUCCAUUCUUUGUACUGAACUGAAUCUGGUCUUGUUCGCUGCAACAACAAGAUCCAGCUGCCGUCGGGAUCAAUCGCCCAAUCUCCAGAAGCUUGGGGGCCCAGCUCUUGAAGAAGGCUCAGGCCAAUCCAUCUAAGAAACAAGGUGGGGUUAGUACAAGGUCAUGGAGAAACUAUGCCUACCAGGAGAAGGUACGCAACACAUUUUGCUGAACCUAUGCCUACUAAGGUCAGGGCCUCCUCUCCUCUUUCCCAUAGGAAAUCAAAUCCUCGCUAAUUAUGAUAUUACAUAUAAUUUUUUGGCAACUCCUAAUAAUCUUUUGCAUUCUUUUAGGGACCAAAAAAUUUCAACAUCACAUGCAGUAAACAAAGGAUCAUUUUCCACAUUCUGUUUUCUUCUUGACAUUAUAUUAGCUGUAUGAAUCCCUUUUGCAAUGAUAUUAGCUUGUGGCUUUCCAAAUGCAAGUCAUGCCAGUUGUUCUUCCUCUAGAAAAUGCAAGGAUUUCUGUCAUUUUCAUCCAUGCCCGUGGGAAAGAAGUGUUGCAACUAUAAGUAAUCGAAUGUAUCUCCUAAAUACGAAGAAGAUACGAGAAAGAAGACUCACUGAUACACGGCUUCAGAGGUAAAUUUCCUUGACUUUGAAUAAUAUAUUUUGCGACUUGGCUGUAUUAAUUGUUGUUCUGAGAUGAUUCAUUUUACCUUAAAAAAUAUUGUCCUUCAGGUGUGACAUCUUCGGCACUACAAAUGGAUGAUUGUUUAUGUGUGUAUUACAGUAGUUUUCAAGUAGAUCUCCCAUUCUGUUAGUGCCACUUCUAGACAACACAUUGCUUUAUCACUUGCUUUUCUGCUUACUUGCUUAGAUAUUAUAGCAGUACACUAUAGGGCCCAAAGCAUUACCUGUCAUCAAACUGGCUAAUAAUAGAACUUUGUUCAGUAAUGGCAAACUAGAGGAAGGAAUCGAGAGAAAGACAUGCUAUGAUAUACACGCCUUUAAUUUCAAGGCAUGUAUGAACUGGAUCAAGGCACAAUUGGUUUUGAGUCGUUCGGUAUGAACUGGUUGAAGGCAAUUGUUUUGAGUCGUUCCAUACUUAGAUCCACCGAACACACCUCCAUGAGCACAUCUGUCAUUUGAUCUAGGUCCCCGUACAUGUACACGUUGCCCCUUGGCCAAGGUUCACAUAUUUUUUUAAUUAAAUAUGUGCUGCAAACUCACCAUUAUAUCUAUGGACAACAUAGCCUAGGAUGUCCUCCAGAUUUGAUCUACUUUGCAAAAUAUGUAGCUAUGACAUAUAUAAUAUUCAGAGGAUAUCUCUCACUAUUGUCAAAAAAUUAUUCGAGAAAAGUAUAGUCCGAAAUUUCUAUGAUAGAUUUUUGUUAGAUACACAAAUAUGUGCGUUUUUGUCCCUCUUUUUACCUAUGAUGAAGAACCGAUGUAGAGCUUCUUAUCACUUUUUUUAACUUUUAGAAUGGACAUAUCGAUACGGAGACAAGGAAAUACACAGAUUUUAAAACACUCAUCAGUUCAAAUAUUACUUUGCCAAAGAUCUGCUGGGAAACAUCAUAGCUGGGUGACAAAGGUUAUCCCUAUUGUUAUUCCAUAUAGAUCUUUUGCUUAUCUGUCAUUAUAGAUCAUGUUUUGUUGGAUACUGAAAGUAUUACGUUCGGUGUACAUAGCUAAUGUGCAUGAUUUUAGUUUGUGAGUCAUCCAUAAUUUUUGCAACCUUGGAAGUUAUAUUAUGUUGUUGUCUUAUACUUCAAAAUAGCAGUUUGGACUAUUUAACAAGAAAAAUAAAACAUAUAGCUGCACGCAAAAAAUUAUUUAUUUUACGAAGUAAUCUUGUAUUAUGCCAAAUAUUUAGUGACAGUUAUUUAUCACAUGAAGGUAUUGAAAACUAGAGAACAGAAAAAGCUUAUAGUCAUCACCAGGAAACAGUUAUCAUAGAUGUUGAUGUUAGAAUCUUAGGGUUUUCGGUCUACCCCCUAAUUCCUCUGCGCUUAUCCGUGGUGCCGCUCACAAUUCGCAUAUCUGAGGCUAGGGGGUAGGGACCUUCUUAUACUGUCUUUCCAAAGAGUCCACCUCUUAUACAGAUAUAAGAUUCCUAGUCUUUUCCACUAGUUUCCGGGAUAGAGUCCAGAUCAAAUUACCAACCACGAUCAUAUUUGUCUGUUUGACGGAUUCUACCCGUUUUGUCCCCGGGGCACACGCUUGUGAGCAACGCGCCAUAAUAGAGUGUAAAUUCCUCUAAUUAUGUAGAUCAACAUUAGGGCUAUAAUCUAACUAUAUGAUCUAGCUCCUUCCAAUCUUCAGUGUACCCGGGUAGUCAUUCCAAUAUAAAUAGUAUAUUGUAUUCCACUGAUAAUCGACCAGCUUCCUUAAGCAUAUGUUACUUAAGUACAUUCCAACAAGUGAUAAUUUUCCAUGCUAAACAUGUAAAACAAUUCCAUGUACAAAUACAUGUAUAAUUCCAUAAUGAGGUAUUCCGGAUAUUUAACAAUUCCAAGUAAUUUGAAUAUAGUUGCAGGACGCAUAAUUCCAACAGUUGAUGCUGUCGGUGAUAGGAGAAAAGUAAUUACUUUCAUCGGAGGCCUUGAUUUAUGUGGUAGACGAUACGACAUACCUAGCUUCUCAUGUAACAGUUACUCGAGUCUAAUUUUUUACAGGAGUAGGAAACUUAUGGCAGAUGAUGCCUGUGCCCCAAGGGAACCAUGGCAUGACUUGCAUUUGAAAUUUGAUGGUCCAACAGCUUAUGACAUUAUGCAGAAUUGUUGGCUGAAGGCAUCGAAACGCCAUGGCAAUACUGAGAAAUAUCCUCUGAAUAUUCCGGAGAUGGACCCAUGAUCCAGAUUUGGAAACAUUGAUGGAUGGAUAAAUUUGAGGAUUUGAUCCAUUAUUAGCUAAUUAUAUAGCUUAUAAUCUUAUAGCUAAUGACACAAGUGCUCUGUUUUAAAAAAAUUAGUGGAAGAAGUACUUAUCUCUGUCUCUACUUUGUCGGUGACAAGUUCAACUUUUUCAUAUUGAUGGAUAAAGUUGUGUUGGUUU